This 234-nucleotide ribosomal RNA is filed under the name uncultured bacterium. RNAcentral's name for it is "partial 16S ribosomal RNA". It matches the Rfam family "Bacterial small subunit ribosomal RNA", at positions 102 to 334 of the family's 1533-position model. The record is from RNAcentral.
CCACGGGUGAGUAACGCGUAUCCAACCUGCCGUCUACUCUUGGACAGCCUUCUGAAAGGAAGAUUAAUACAAGAUGGCAUCAUGAGUCCGCAUGUUCACAUGAUUAAAGGUAUUCCGGUAGACGAUGGGGAUGCGUUCCAUUAGAUAGUAGGCGGGGUAACGGCCCACCUAGUCUUCGAUGGAUAGGGGUUCUGAGAGGGAGGUCCCCCACAUUGGAACUGAGACACGGUCCAA